UUCCUCUCUGGUUUCCGGCCGCCGCUGGUUCACCGCCGUUCGCCCCCAGUCGACGCUCGUGCUCUGUUUUCCGGCCACCUCUGCCAGCCUCCGUUCCCUCUUCCUUCCUUCCCAUUUUUCAGUUCUGUUUCGGGACACCAGUUUUCGAAAGGCUAGUCGACUCCCUUCAUAGCAUCUGAUUCCUAUACCUCAGCAAGAUGCCUAGAACGAGACCGCCUAGACGACCAUUGACCAGCAGUGGACGGGGUUCCAUCCCUCCACCCAUGUUGGGCACGUUUGAGGUAGUGGAGUCAGAUAUUAUAAGUUACGGUAUUGUAUUAAUUAGCGAGUUU
This is a long non-coding RNA of Daucus carota subsp. sativus, 332 nucleotides long. RefSeq lists it as uncharacterized. NCBI's taxonomy places the organism in Eukaryota, Viridiplantae, Streptophyta, Magnoliopsida, Apiales, Apiaceae. The transcript is spliced from 3 exons. The record is from RefSeq and is a predicted model, not a curated record.